GGAGGGUAUAGCUCAGUGGUAGAGUGUGUGCUUAGCAUGCACAUGGUCCUGGGUUCAAUCCCCAGUACCUCCA
This 73-nucleotide transfer RNA is filed under the name Vicugna pacos (alpaca). RNAcentral describes it as "tRNA-Ala (AGC) (tRNA-Ala-AGC-70-1)". It matches the Rfam family "tRNA". Rfam says of the family: Transfer RNA (tRNA) molecules are approximately 80 nucleotides in length. Their secondary structure includes four short double-helical elements and three loops (D, anti-codon, and T loops). Further hydrogen bonds mediate the characteristic L-shaped molecular structure. tRNAs have two regions of fundamental functional importance: the anti-codon, which is responsible for specific mRNA codon recognition, and the 3' end, to which the tRNAs corresponding amino acid is attached (by aminoacyl-tRNA synthetases). tRNAs cope with the degeneracy of the genetic code in two manners: having more than one tRNA (with a specific anti-codon) for a particular amino acid; and 'wobble' base-pairing, i.e. permitting non-standard base-pairing at the 3rd anti-codon position. The record is from RNAcentral. Lineage: Eukaryota; Metazoa; Chordata; Mammalia; Artiodactyla; Camelidae.